Molecule: ribosomal RNA, 502 nt
Filed under: Sycophila variegata
Lineage: Eukaryota; Metazoa; Arthropoda; Insecta; Hymenoptera; Eurytomidae
Also listed under: 1 other name
Description: partial 16S ribosomal RNA
Source: RNAcentral
GACAGACUUAAAAAUUUUAAUAUCUUCAUUAAAAUUUAUCUUAAUUCAACAUCGAGGUCGCAAUCAUUUUUAUCAAUAUGAACUCUCUAAAAAUAUUACGCUGUUAUCCCUAAGGUAAUUUAAUUUAAUUUCAUUAAUAAUGGAUAUUAAGUUUUCAAUUAUUUUUGUUAUAAAAAUAAAAAAUUUUUAUAAAUUUUUAUAUAGCCCCAACAAAAUAAUUUUAAAUUAAAAAAAUUUAUUUAAAUUUAAAUAAUUUUAAAUUAUAAAAUUCUAUAGGGUCUUCUCGUCUUUUAAUUUUAUAUAAGAAUUUUUACUUAUAAUUAAAUUUAAUAAUUUUAAAUUGAGACAGUUUUUAUUUCAAUAAUUCUUUCAUUCCAGACUUAAAUAAUAAGACAAAUGAUUAUGCUACCUUUGUACAGUUAAAAUACUGCAGCUAUUUAAAAAUUUUCAUUGAGCAGAACUGAUUUAAAAUUAUAAUCAAAAAACCAUGUUUUUGAUAAAC